AACCUGAUAUUGUCUCCCAUUGAUUAAUAGGCAUAUUGAGGCAUGUCUUGAGGGAAACAAGAUUCCUUUUGAGAUUCUGAGACCAAAACAGAAGUAAAAGAGAUCAUUCAGGCAUUGUCAAGAUAAUUUUAAUAUUAUUCUAUCAAAAGAUAAAGGGACCUAAAUGAAAAACCUAAGGCACAGAAUGAAUGAUGAGAAGGAAAAGUGGUAAAUAUAUGGAAGAAGAGAGAAUCCUUGAAUUAUAAAGCCUGGACAUUAUCUUGGCCUCUGUCUCCUCAGCAAGAACUUCCUCCAAAUAGCUGGUUCAGGAAAUUCAACUCGUUAAUAAUCAGUAAUAAAGGCCACUUGCACCACCUCAAAACACUUGAUUGUAGCUAGAAGUCCAAAAAGGGAUACAGCCUCAAUACAGAUACUAUAAGAUAAACAUGGAAGACAGAAGCAAAAUUUGUCA
Molecule: long non-coding RNA, 451 nt
Organism: Heterocephalus glaber (naked mole-rat)
Lineage: Eukaryota; Metazoa; Chordata; Mammalia; Rodentia; Bathyergidae
Source: Ensembl